GGCGUUAGCAGUACUGCCCUCACUAUGCGUUCAUUGGACAGUAGCGCAACCCCAAGAAAAGGAUGGUUG
RNAcentral lists this small nuclear RNA (69 nucleotides) under Cricetulus griseus (Chinese hamster). Its description in RNAcentral is "U4atac minor spliceosomal RNA". Lineage: Eukaryota; Metazoa; Chordata; Mammalia; Rodentia; Cricetidae. The record is from RNAcentral.